GCUCCGUAGGUGAACCUGCGGAGGGAUCAUUACAGAGUUCAUGCCCUACCGGGUAGAUCUCCCACCCUAUGUUAUUAUUACUUUGUUGCUUUGGCGGGCCGUUAGGCUCCGGCCCGACUACCGGCCCCGGCUGGUAAGCGCCCGCCAGAGGACCCAAAACCCUGAAUAUUAGUGUCGUCUGAGUACUAUAUAAUAGUUAGAACUUUCAACAACGGAUCUCUUGGUUCUG
This 229-nucleotide unclassified non-coding RNA is filed under the name plant metagenome. RNAcentral describes it as "partial contains small subunit ribosomal RNA, internal transcribed spacer 1, and 5.8S ribosomal RNA". The record is from RNAcentral.